GGCUGAACUCAAGCCAGAGGAAACGUGACCUGGGGAUGAGUCCGUGUGAGAGCACGUACGCACCAAAGUGUUUGUGGCCAGAGUUCACUCCAGAGCAGGUACACCUCAAAGCACCUAUGGCCAUGGAGAAGUGCAUGCUGCAGGAGGUACACCUUGCAACAUCCAUGUCUGUGGAUAAAGCCAUGCUAGAGUACCUAGAAGUGUCUGUGGGUGUGGAUAAGACCAUAACACAGCAAGUGUCUGAGGAAACCUCUGAAGGGACUGUGGCAAAUGGAACAGGCCAUGCCACAGCCAGUACACCUCAAUGUGACUGUGGCUGUGGCACAUCAGAACAAGUAGACCUCAUAGCAUCUACGACUGAUGACACAAAAACUAACCCUGCUGCUCAUUUCUUUUCACACGUAAGGAUUGAAAGACUUAAAAAAGACCACCACGAGGCGGGAAGAGCUGGAACAGAAGCUAAAGUCAGGCUAAAGGGCAGCAAAAGUGAUCCCUACAGAACUUUGCCUCAUGCAGAGUUGGACUGCAGCUGACUUCUUUCUGCAGGGAGCAUCCAUGUGUGCAGUCUGGUGUGAGUGGAAGGAGCAGGUAGAGGUGAGCCAGACAGGGAGCAGC
Molecule: long non-coding RNA, 615 nt
Filed under: Gallus gallus (chicken)
Lineage: Eukaryota; Metazoa; Chordata; Aves; Galliformes; Phasianidae
Description: lncRNA (ENSGALG00010001983.1)
Source: RNAcentral